UGGGGCGUAGCCAAGCGGUAAGGCAGCGGGUUUUGAUCCCGCCAUGCGGAGGUUCGAAUCCUCCCGCCCCAGCCA
Molecule: transfer RNA, 75 nt
Filed under: Hoeflea sp.
Lineage: Bacteria; Pseudomonadati; Pseudomonadota; Alphaproteobacteria; Hyphomicrobiales; Rhizobiaceae
Also listed under: 5 other names
Description: tRNA-Gln
Rfam family: tRNA
About the family: Transfer RNA (tRNA) molecules are approximately 80 nucleotides in length. Their secondary structure includes four short double-helical elements and three loops (D, anti-codon, and T loops).
Source: RNAcentral